UCAGUUCGUAAGCCUGACAAUGACAAUACCAAUGAUAAUGAUGAGGAAUUCAUCCCGCCCGAACGCAAGCGCCGGAGCAAUGCUGAUGAACAAAUACAUACUGAAUUUAUAAACGAAGACUUGAAUAUACUUAAUGUAGCGCUUUCUGAUGACGAAAACUUCCAGCCCGCAAAUAAUGACAUAAAUGACAUAAAUGAUGAGGAGUAUUGCCCGCAAAAACCUCUCGAUGAUGAUCUCCUUUCUGAAGAAGAAAAUGUUUGUAAGCC
Long non-coding RNA from Scaptodrosophila lebanonensis, 266 nucleotides. RefSeq lists it as uncharacterized. Lineage: Eukaryota; Metazoa; Arthropoda; Insecta; Diptera; Drosophilidae. The transcript has 4 exons. The record is from RefSeq and is a predicted model, not a curated record.